CCGGUACAUUUCUUCGUUUCUUCUUUGCUGUUUUCAGUGAGUGUUUUGUUUUCUCUUUGUCCUUGAUCUCGACGGUGUUGUCGUGCUCAUUACCUUACUGAGACGUCUCUUGUGACUGUAGCCAGUGUCACAGAGGAUUUUAUUGGCGUGACGAGCUAGAUCGCCGAGAUCAAGCGUGAAAAACGCUCUGCAUUAGUAGCUCCUGUAGAAUGUCUUCUGGGAUGGCGUAUCCAUGGUCAACAAAGCCAAGGUGCAAGACAGCAUAAGAGAUCGUGUAAACGAUGUGAACUCCAAAAGAUAAUCUGGACAAAUAAAUUAUAAUAAUUAUUGUAACUGGAGAGUGCAAUCGUGCUUGGGACCUAUCCCAAUGUCAUCACAUGGCUGUGGUGACUAGUGUAUACCUGGGAGAGUUUUUCCUCAACUGAGAUGGAGUGUAGGUGGAUGGAUUAUGAGAAAUGCGAAGAUGUGGAGUUCAAGGCUAGAUGCACUUCACAUUCGGCGUGCGAUCUCGGCGUCUGGGGCCUGAUAACGUCGUGGUUGGAUGCAUAAUCAUAAUCAAGGAUGAUACUACUCGGCACACCAAUGUACAUGUCAAUGUAAUUUAUACUUUUUCAGAGCUGCACUAUUUACGUCUUGAUGCUUACUUCGGUGCUAGCGUGUUUCCCCCGGAUUAUUUCUAUCAUCAUGCGUGUUCUUGGGCUGAGCGAGCACAUGCACGAGUGUGCAGCUAUAACCCUGUGUAUCUUUGGUUACACUUUGUUCUGCAAUGCAUGUACCUUGUAACAGUAUGUGCUUGCACUGCUUUGUGUGGCCUGCGUAUGUCAGGACUAUUCAGUGCAUUAGACCCAGGUUGGUUUGGUUGCCGGAUGAUCUCUUGUUGCGUCGCUCUGUGUUUUGUAUUCAUCAUUUUUUGGGCUUGAGAAUUGAGCUGGUGUGCGGUUCCCAAUAUGAAAACAUCAUGCUGGUGCUCUGUGUUUCGAUUAUCGACUGUCCGAGCAGUCACGAUUCUUUACCAGAACGGUCAA
Long non-coding RNA from Sycon ciliatum, 1025 nucleotides. RefSeq lists it as uncharacterized. NCBI's taxonomy places the organism in Eukaryota, Metazoa, Porifera, Calcarea, Leucosolenida, Sycettidae. The transcript is spliced from 3 exons. The record is from RefSeq and is a predicted model, not a curated record.